RNAcentral lists this ribosomal RNA (511 nucleotides) under uncultured bacterium. RNAcentral describes it as "bacterial SSU rRNA". It matches the Rfam family "Bacterial small subunit ribosomal RNA", at positions 31 to 507 of the family's 1533-position model. The record is from RNAcentral.
GAUAGAACGCUAGCGACAGGCCUAACACAUGCAAGGUCGAGGGGCAUCGGGACGUAGCAAUACGUUGCCGGCGACCGGCGGAUGGGUGAGUAACGCGUAUGCCAACCUACCCGUAGCGAGGGGGAUAGCCCGUUGAAAGACGGAUUAAUACCCCGUAACACAGGGGCUCCGCAUGGAGAUUAUUGUUAAAGGGUCAUUUCUUUUCAGGGAUGGUCCGGCUGCGGAUGGGCAUGCGUUCCAUUAGGUAGUUGGUGUAGGUAACUGCUCACCAAGCCGACGAUGGAUAGGGGAACUGAGAGGUUGGUCCCCCACACUGGUACUGAGACACGGACCAGACUCCUACGGGAGGCAGCAGUGAGGAAUUUUGGUCAAUGGACGCAAGUCUGAACCAGCCAUGUCGCGUGAAGGAGGACGGCCCUAAGGGUUGUAAACUUCUUUUGCAGUGGAAUAAAGUUUGCCACGUGUUGGCGAUUUGCAAGUACGCUGCGAAUAAGGAUCGGCUAACUCCGUG